CGUACACUCCUGCGGGAGGCAGCAGUGGGGAAUAUUGCACAAUGGGCGCAAGCCUGAUGCAGCCAUGCCGCGUGUAUGAAGAAGGCCUUCGGGUUGUAAAGUACUUUCAGCGGGGAGGAAGGCGAUAAGGUUAAUAACCUUGUUGAUUGACGUUACCCGCAGAAGAAGCACCGGCUAACUCCGUGCCAGCAGCCGCGGUAAUACGGAGGGUGCAAGCGUUAAUCGGAAUUACUGGGCGUAAAGCGCACGCAGGCGGUCUGUCAAGUCGGAUGUGAAAUCCCCGGGCUCAACCUGGGAACUGCAUUCGAAACUGGCAGGCUAGAGUCUUGUAGAGGGGGGUAGAAUUCCAGGUGUAGCGGUGAAAUGCGUAGAGAUCUGGAGGAAUACCGGUGGCGAAGGCGGCCCCCUGGACAAAGACUGACGCUCAGGUGCGAAAGCGUGGGGAGCAAACAGGAUUAGAUACCCUAGUAGUCCC
This 475-nucleotide ribosomal RNA is filed under the name uncultured organism. RNAcentral's name for it is "partial 16S ribosomal RNA". It matches the Rfam family "Bacterial small subunit ribosomal RNA", at positions 330 to 797 of the family's 1533-position model. The record is from RNAcentral.